CGCCGGGACCCGGAAGCACUCGCGGAGGCCCCGCCCCGCCCGGCAAAAUCGCUGCCGGGGGGGGCGGUAUUUCCUUUCUGCCCUCGCGCUCGUCGUGGUUUCUCCAGGCCCGCCCUCGACAUGCAGAACGACGCCGGCGAGUUCGUGGACCUGUACGUGCCGCGGAAAUGCUCCGCCAGCAACCGCAUCAUCGGCGCCAAGGACCACGCGUCCAUCCAGAUGAACGUGGCCGAGGUUGACAAAGCAACAGGCAGGUUCAACGGCCAGUUUAAAACCUACGCCAUCUGUGGGGCCAUUCGCAGGAUGUCAGGUGUGAGGCUGUGUUACAGACGUCUGCCCGUGGCCAGCCCACCUCCGCUCAGUUGGGACUGCCUCGCGGCUGGACCUCUGCCAGCUCGGGGCGGCAGGGAGAGAGCCCCAACGUGAUCUUUUCUAGGGUGAGUCAGAUGACUCCAUCCUUCGAUUGGCCAAGGCUGAUGGCAUCGUCUCAAAGAACUUCUGAUGAAAGAUGCCCACAUAUAUGGAAGAUCUGUCAUAAAUAAAUAAAGCCUACCCGUGUUGGUUUGCU
RNA transcript from Manis pentadactyla (Chinese pangolin), 568 nucleotides. It is a transcript of the gene named ribosomal protein S21, with no coding region annotated. The record is from RefSeq and is a predicted model, not a curated record. NCBI's taxonomy places the organism in Eukaryota, Metazoa, Chordata, Mammalia, Pholidota, Manidae. The transcript has 6 exons.